UACGUAGACCACAAGCGUUAUCCGGAUUUAUUGGGCGUAAAGCGUGUGUAGGGGGUCCGAUGCGUCCUUGGUUAAAGCCCACCGCCUAACGGUGGAAGUGCCACGGAUACGGUCGGACUGGAGGGUGUUAGAGGUGCAUGGAACACAUGGUGUAGGGGUGAAAUCCGUUGAUAUCAUGUGGAACACCAAAGGCGAAGGCAGUGCACUGGGACAUUCCUGACCCUGAGACACGAAAGCGUGGGGAGCAAAAAGG
Molecule: ribosomal RNA, 253 nt
Filed under: uncultured bacterium
Lineage: Bacteria
Description: partial 16S ribosomal RNA
Rfam family: Bacterial small subunit ribosomal RNA
Source: RNAcentral